GUCUGAAUGCAAUAAACCACUCCACCCCACCAACCAAUGAGGACAAGUGUCAACCUGCUGACAGUAUCACCUAUGCCUCCAUCCUCCACUUCAACCAAAAUCCGCCUCAGAGAGUUGAUGUCCAGGAUGAAGAUGCAGUGACCUAUUCCUCUGUUAUGCCCUCUUCUACCAGAGAGACAGAGAACCCUGCUGACCCCAGCUCUACUCCACAGCCAAGACAUCAACAUGAAGACUACACUCAGUCUUUCACAGCCUAAUCUCAGCACCCAGAACCAAAUAUCUUGUGAAUGCUGGCCAGCUACUCUAUUUGGUUCAGGAACAGUUGAUGGUCAUUAUGGCCAAACAGUUAUAUUUUUGUUUGAUCAGACCAGAGGACAUUUCUCCAAAAAGUAUGA
Long non-coding RNA from Coregonus clupeaformis (lake whitefish), 395 nucleotides. RefSeq lists it as uncharacterized. The transcript is spliced from 3 exons. The record is from RefSeq and is a predicted model, not a curated record. Lineage: Eukaryota; Metazoa; Chordata; Actinopteri; Salmoniformes; Salmonidae.